GGAGUGGUGUCUGAGCUGGUCGAAGGAGCACGAUUGGAAAUCGUGUAGGCUGAAAGGUCUCGUGGGUUCGAAUCCCACUCACUCCA
Molecule: transfer RNA, 86 nt
Filed under: Armatimonadota bacterium
Lineage: Bacteria; Bacillati; Armatimonadota
Description: Armatimonadetes bacterium (glacier metagenome) tRNA-Ser
Rfam family: tRNA
About the family: Transfer RNA (tRNA) molecules are approximately 80 nucleotides in length. Their secondary structure includes four short double-helical elements and three loops (D, anti-codon, and T loops).
Source: RNAcentral